This is a long non-coding RNA of Adelges cooleyi (spruce gall adelgid), 877 nucleotides long. RefSeq lists it as uncharacterized. The transcript has 5 exons. The record is from RefSeq and is a predicted model, not a curated record. Lineage: Eukaryota; Metazoa; Arthropoda; Insecta; Hemiptera; Adelgidae.
UAAGGCUGUCCGCCGUAGCAACCACUGAAUAAUUGCAUUCUGUGUAGCAACUAGCAACUAGCAUUUGCUUUUUUGUGAUUUUGUAAUGAAAUAAAUGUGACUCGGUAAUUGGAAUUUGUAAUUUGGAUGAGUACUCUCAAAUUUGUACAUGCAAUUGUCUGCAAGUAACAGAGUGAACGAUUUUAAAGAACGCAAACAUUUUGGACUUGAAUUCGUUUUACAUUUAUAGAAAAAAAAUUGGCAAUCGGUAAACUACAAAACAAAAAUGUCUGUAAUGUUUUCAUUCGUUUCGAUGGAUCAUUUGUACAUAAAAGCAUAUUUCUAGUGACUAAGGAAAAUUAAAAGUUGAAUAGUUAGUUGUGACACAAUAUCAACAAAGAUCUGAGAAUAUACUUAACAAUCUUUUUACUUUCUAUUUCAUAAGAUGUUUAUAUUUAUGAUGAUGACCUGUGGGGUACAACAGGUCUACCAAUUGUAAUCUAAUAUUGUGAAUUUAGGUAUUAUAUUAAUAUACUAUUAGUUACCGCUAAAAAUGUCUGUGGAGCCACAAGUUGAGUGAAAAGUAGUAGAAGAUGAAGUAUCUUACUUAUCACUCAAAUGUCGCCAGGAAGAGCAGUUGAUUGACACAAAUGUCACUAAAGUUUUCAAUAAGAACUUGGAUAUUAAGUUAUUGAUUAGGAGGUUGUAAUAUGCUUGCUGGUAAAGUUAUAUAUUAGCAUAUGUUAUUUUAUGUCGAUUCAUACAAAAUCUGCAGGGAAACAAGAUAAAAAAAUCCAGCUUACAAUUCAAUUGAUUUAACUUUUUACCACUUUUUUAUUAUUUAUGAAUUAUGUUUUAAGAAUUUUUUAUUAAGAGCUUUGGUUGAUGUUAAACUUGA